This 989-nucleotide long non-coding RNA is filed under the name Pelobates cultripes (western spadefoot toad). The record is from RNAcentral. Lineage: Eukaryota; Metazoa; Chordata; Amphibia; Anura; Pelobatidae.
GACAACAGGUCUUUGUGAACAGUUACUGUCUAGCUGAAUGGGAUUGUUACACUGUAUUCACACACGCUAUCUUACCUGUCAUAGUCUUCGGGAGUUUCCUGUGGCGAUCGGUUAAACACCACGACCUUGUAGGUGAGCAGCAUCCCCAGGAUCGCCAUUCCAGUAAGAAAUAUUAAAAAUCUCUGUAGGAUCUUUGAUUUCGCAAGGAGGCAUAUGUCCAAAUUUGCUCUUUGUUGCAGGGUUCCUCUCCCUUUAAUUGCCAUGGUGCUCCCUGCUUCCUAGCUCUCUGGAUGGGACACUUCUUCCAAGACGCACAGACUUUGGACCUUCUCUUGCCAGCCCUUAUCGUAGCUGAAUAUUGUUUUGUAGGUAAUUAUGUUCCAGCUAGUGCUGUACGUUAUGUUUGUGUGUAAUUAAAGCAGAUCCCUGUUCCUGCUGAAUAUAAGGUGAAUUUGCAGAGUGACACCCAAAGCUGUUUGUGAAUCAUGUGCCAGUGUGAGCCGUGUGUGUUUGGGUGCUAUUGCCAUGGGAAUCAGUGCUGGCAUAGAGUUUGUUGAUAGCGCUGGCAUUUCCUAGUGCAAAAGUGUAUAGCUGAGUGUGAAAAAGUCCUGCAAACUUUUUCCAUUCUCUUAAAUUUGCUUCCAGUGAUCUGUUUCCCUACUACGUGUUUGAACAAGCAGGCGAUAGCUUAUCAGUGUGUGAAUGCCUUUUUUUGUGUGUCUGUGUCUGUGUUUGUAAGAUUCUAAUUCUGAUCUCGCUAUGUAUGUGCGUGUGAGAUCACAGAGUAUGUGUACAAGGGGCAGAGUUAGUAACUAUGUUUGGACACAGCUAGGCGGUCAUGUAGUAAAGCAGUUUAUUUUGGGGCUGGCUGUAACAAUUCUACUUCUUAUUCAACAGAUUAACCAUUUCCUCCUCCUUGCUGACAAGCUUUUUGCUACGACAGAAACAAUUGCUUUAAAAGACCGUUUGCUUGGUUUUUUUUAAUACAG